This 63-nucleotide transfer RNA is filed under the name Cyamus boopis. RNAcentral describes it as "tRNA-Ala". Lineage: Eukaryota; Metazoa; Arthropoda; Malacostraca; Amphipoda; Cyamidae. The record is from RNAcentral.
AGAAUAAUAUUUUAUAUAAAAUAUGUAGUUUGCAUCUACAAGAAGUACUUUUUACUUAUUUUA